GGCUAUCAAUUGAAUGCCCAUUCUGUUCCAAAAGUUUCAUACACAAAUGGGGCAUUGAUUUUGAAAGAUUAAUUCGUAAUUUCACUCAUGCAAAGGUGAGGUGAUUUUUAUUUUGAGAAAUCAAUACACAAAAUGUGAUUUGAAUUUUAAUUUUGAAAUGUGACCAAGAAAGAAUUUUAUUGAAAAUUUGAUUUUAAGUCUAUGCCCCAAAAUGUAAUCUUGACUUGGAAGAAUUUCU
This 238-nucleotide long non-coding RNA is filed under the name Eucalyptus grandis. RNAcentral describes it as "long non-coding RNA (EGRA_LNC003529)". The record is from RNAcentral. Lineage: Eukaryota; Viridiplantae; Streptophyta; Magnoliopsida; Myrtales; Myrtaceae.